RNAcentral lists this transfer RNA (67 nucleotides) under Marmota monax (woodchuck). RNAcentral's name for it is "tRNA.Ala". The record is from RNAcentral. Lineage: Eukaryota; Metazoa; Chordata; Mammalia; Rodentia; Sciuridae.
GGUUGUGGCUCAGCGGUAGAGCCCUUGCCUAGCCAGUGUGAAGCCAUGGGUUCGAUUCUCAGCACCA